RNAcentral lists this ribosomal RNA (383 nucleotides) under uncultured bacterium. RNAcentral's name for it is "bacterial SSU rRNA". It matches the Rfam family "Bacterial small subunit ribosomal RNA", at positions 28 to 412 of the family's 1533-position model. The record is from RNAcentral.
GACGAACGCUGGCGGCGUGCUUAACACAUGCAAGUCGAGCGGUAAGGCCCUUUCGGGGGUACACGAGCGGCGAACGGGUGAGUAACACGUGGGUGACCUGCCUCUAGCUCUGGGAUAAGCCUGGGAAGCUGGGUCUAAUACCGGAUAUGACCUCGCGGUGCAUGUUGCGGGGUGGAAAGCCUUGUGCGGCUAGGGAUGGGCCCGCGGCCUAUCAGCUUGUUGGUGGGGUGANGGCCUACCAAGGCGACGACGGGUAGCCGGCCUGAGAGGGCGACCGGCCACACUGGGACUGAGACACGGCCCAGACUCCUACGGGAGGCAGCAGUGGGGAAUCUUGCGCAAUGGGCGAAAGCCUGACGCAGCGACGCCGCGUGAGGGAUGAC